CUUACACCACCACCUUAACCCACCAUCUCCAACACCUCCGGCCACCUUAUCUCGCCGGAAAAUGGGUCCGGUCGGCACUCCUUGAAUCCAUCCGAAAAUAACACAAUAGAAGCACAAACUCUAGAUUUUUCUUAAUCUUUUGAAGAAUCAAAGCAUGGGAUUUAUUUUCUUGAUGGAUUAGAGGCUUGUACUUGGAUUGGAGGAAGGCAUCUCUCCACCUCUUGGAAAUUAAUUUGUAGAGUUUCAAAUCUACACUUUUGCUAUUUUUGGAGAUUCAUAGACUUUUGUGUGGCUCGCCUCAACUUGGAAGACUAGAAUUUUUUGAAGGAUCACAGGCGCGUAUGGCAAGGCGAAGAGUUCAUAAGAGUCGCCCCCUUAUGGAAGUACUUGAGGCUGAGCGAGAGCCACAUCUUAGUGUUGGAAAUGAAGUUCCACCUCGGGUUCAGGAAGAAGAGAUUGAACAUGAAUCGCAUAAUGAGCAAACUCAAGAGUCAAGUGCCAAUCCAGAAGUGGGACAUUCAGAUAGAGUCGUACCACCAAGGGUUGACACAGCUCCAGCAUUUUUAGACCCUAGUGUGCAGCGCCUUUUAGAGUCAAUGGCUAGCCUAGCGGAGAGGCAGACUCACAUCCUUGAACAACAGAAUGCAGCACAGUCAAGGCCAUUUGUGCAACCUACAGAGAACCGCCUCACCGCAAUUGAGAGGUUCAAGAAGUUGGGGGCUCCAUCAUUUUCUGGAUCGCCCAAUCCUAUGGAGGCAGAGGCCUGGUUAAGGAGG
Molecule: non-coding RNA, 776 nt
Organism: Camellia sinensis
Lineage: Eukaryota; Viridiplantae; Streptophyta; Magnoliopsida; Ericales; Theaceae
Source: RefSeq, a predicted model, not a curated record